RNAcentral lists this ribosomal RNA (253 nucleotides) under uncultured bacterium. Its description in RNAcentral is "partial 16S ribosomal RNA". It matches the Rfam family "Bacterial small subunit ribosomal RNA", at positions 524 to 776 of the family's 1533-position model. The record is from RNAcentral.
UACGUAGGGUGCAAGCGUUGUCCGGAAUUAUUGGGCGUAAAGAGCUCGUAGGCGGUUUGUUGCGUCGGCUGUGAAAUCCCGAGGCUCAACCUCGGGUCUGCAGUCGAUACGAGCAAACUAGAGUGUUGCAGGGGAGACUGGAAUUCCUGGUGUAGCGGUGAAAUGCGCAGAUAUCAGGAGGAACACCCGUGGCGAAGGCGGUUCUCUGGGACGGUACUGACGCUGAGACGCGAAAGCGUGGGGAGCGAACAGG